Molecule: ribosomal RNA, 460 nt
Filed under: uncultured bacterium
Lineage: Bacteria
Description: partial 16S ribosomal RNA
Rfam family: Bacterial small subunit ribosomal RNA
Source: RNAcentral
CCUACGGGUGGCAGCAGUGAGGAAUAUUGGUCAAUGGACGAGAGUCUGAACCAGCCAAGUAGCGUGAAGGAUGACUGCCCUAUGGGUUGUAAACUUCUUUUAUAUGGGAAUAAAACGUUCCACGUGUGCCUUUUUGUAUGUACUUUAUGAAUAAGGAUCGGCUAACUCCGUGCCAGCAGCCGCGGUAAUACGGAGGAUCCGAGCGUUAUCCGGAUUUAUUGGGUUUAAAGGGAGCGUAGAUGGGUUGUUAAGUCAGUUGUGAAAGUUUGCGGCUCAACCGUAAAAUUGCAGUUGAGACUGGCAGUCUUGAGUACAGUAGAGGUGAGCGGAAUUCGUGGUGUAGCGGUGAAAUGCUUAGAUAUCACGAAGAACUCCGAUUGCGAAGGCAGCUUACUAAACUGUGACUGACACUGAGGCUCGAAAGUGUGGGUAUCAAACAGGAUUAGAUACCCGUGUAGUC